This 258-nucleotide long non-coding RNA is filed under the name Bos taurus (domestic cattle). RNAcentral's name for it is "long non-coding RNA NONBTAT024982". Lineage: Eukaryota; Metazoa; Chordata; Mammalia; Artiodactyla; Bovidae. The record is from RNAcentral.
GUUCACAGUCACUGUUCUGCCUUUUCCCUCCCUACCCCCUGCUUGCAGAGCUCUCCAGGAGCCCGCCUCUGUUGAUAGGCUGCUUUGAAAUCUAUACUUAAAGUUCUAAGGGUAGUGGUGGACACUGAAGAAUUCUUUGCUGGAGACCUACCUGGCUUCUAGCCCCGUUGACCCUCUGUACAAUCUUGGACCAGUGUCAGCCCAGAUUACCAUCAUUUCAGUAAUGGAAGCAGCGUGCUUUAAGGAACCCCCUUAACC